Molecule: ribosomal RNA, 253 nt
Filed under: uncultured bacterium
Lineage: Bacteria
Description: partial 16S ribosomal RNA
Rfam family: Bacterial small subunit ribosomal RNA
Source: RNAcentral
UACGUAGGUGGCGAGCGUUGUCCGGAUUUACUGGGCGUAAAGAGCGCGCAGGCGGCUGGUCAAGUCCGAUGUGAAAGCUCCCGGCUUAACUGGGAAAUUGCAUCGGAAACUGAUCGGCUGGAAGGUGGGAGAGGGUAGCGGAAUUCCCGGUGUAGUGGUGAAAUGCGUAGAUAUCGGGAGGAACACCAGUGGCGAAGGCGACUACCUGGCCUGUUCUUGACGCUGAGGCGCGAAAGCUAGGGUAGCAAACGGG